UUUUGAAUGAUAGUAAUGACUUGAAAAUAUUUUUCUUAAAGAUUACAAUCUAAAGUAUUUAUAUAGUAAAUUAAAAAAUAAUAUUGAAGCAAAUUUGGGACAUCUGGCUAUUAAAUUUUUUGGCAAUGUAUACACAUCUCACACUUAAUAUAAAAAUGAUACACAGCAAAGAAUUAUUGAAUACAUGUACUAAAGGACUUGCACCUAAAAAGAGAUUUAAGCCAAUAAAAGGUAAAUAUUUCAUUUUCUCCCUCGUAGAUACUUCCAUCAUCAGCAUAGAUGAUUUAACCUCCACCAUAACCCUCACAAAGAGUCACAGGUUGGUUUUUCAUUAUAAUAUAGACAUAUAAACCUCCCAACCGCUGUCAACCAAUCGAUGACAAUGCUGAAUUAUAAAAUUCUGUUAUUAGAGUACCUGAAAAACUCAAAUUCCAGUUGCCCAAGUCUAUAUCACUUGCUUGUCAGCAGUUCCAAAUGAGAGCCCUUCAUUGAAAUCGUCUUUAGUUCCCAGUGUAAGGAUAAUGAGUUGACCAACUGAAAGAAGCUUUUCCUUUGUUUUGUAAUGUGUCUGAAACACAACACCGUCAAGUCAUUAUCAAAUGGGAACCUUCAACCUUAUUGUUGUAAGUCCAGUCAGCCUGCUAGUAAUGGAAUCUGGUUGAUUAUUAACAAAGCUCUGAUGCAACAAUUAUAAAACAAAUGGAAGAGGUCUAUCUGGUUCCAAAAAUAAUAUGUCAAAAAGGCAAUGAAAAAAUAAUCGGACAACCAACAAAUAGACAUAUAGUAAUUACUUCACCUCAUAUGAUACAGUAACAAUAUAUGUUGCAGGUUGAAGAGAUAAGAACUGUGGUUGCACAUCCAUUUACUGGUAAGAUUAAGUUUAAACCAUACAGAGUAAGAUCUAAGUUUAGGGGGUUCCCGAGAGCUAGGAGUUAAGGAUGUGUGUUCUAACAUGACACCAAAUGCAACAUAAUGUAAAGAAGUCAGUAUACUUGCUCCCUACUUGUAAAUGAACUACAAAAGUACAAAUCACAACCUUUUAUAACAUCCAAACAAAGUUAUCCAACAUGCUUCUGCCCACUUCUAAGUUAGUAAACAUGAUAAAUUUUGUCCCAGGGUAGUAACAGAACCCCACUUCCUCCACCACCUCUAUUCUGUCUAACACUAUCAUAUUCAAAAUUAACUAAGUAGUUAUAUCCUUCCAAUGAGAGAAACUCGGCAAUGCACUAACGUGCAACUCUUUUUUCCUUAGCAAUAUUAGAUGAGCCAGUUCCAUCAUCUAUUUCCUCCAUAAAAAUUUCAAAAGUUGUUGUAGACCAAAAUCAGGCAUUAACAUUAUUAUCAAUACUGUUAUCCAAUUUGAUUACAAUCGAUCAUUUGUUUCAUUUUUAAGUAGGAUAUUUUCUUUAGGUACUUCCAAGACGUAUGUAAACAUUGUAAGCAGUUUAUCAAUCAUUAUAAUCUAAGAAACAAUUAAUCACAAAUGACCAUAGCAAAAUAAAUAUUAAUCACUAUCACUGUCAUGUGUAAAGGUUUGUCAGUGCUUUAAUUCAAUAAGAUUUAACCAUUCAACAAAAUUGCAUAACCUAAAUGUUUAAUUUGCUCUGAACAAUACCUUAUGUCUAGAAAAACAUUUUGGUCUGGCUCAACUAUCCAUAGUCUGUAGUCUUCCACAAUAAAUUUUUUUCAUGUCACCAUGUUAAUAUUUGCUGGUUUGCCCUGACAUUCUUGAAUUAUCUACAAAAGCAGAUGAAAAUAACAUUGAUCUUGGUAUUCUUAUAUAAUUUUAAAUUCCAAAACUUUAUCACACUCAUAACAGAAAAUUUUGAAUUCCAAAAAUGUAAAAAAGAGUUUUUGGCAAUAAUUGACAAUCAACAGUUUAAGUAGCUUUAAUUAAGGGUCCUUAAAGAAACUUUUUGGCAAUAAAAAAAUUCAAAACUAAUCAAAUUUAUCACAUAAUUAGAAAGAAAUUAUUUUAAUUGAUUUUCAAGGAUCGAAAAGAUUUCAAAACAGGAAUAAAAAGAAAUGCACAAAUAGAAAGUAAUAGUAAUCAAUGAUUAUAAACAUGAAUAAAAUAAAAAAUUUGCCCAAUUUUUAUUUGAUUAGUUACGUACAUACUUCUUAGUUCUGACUUUCUAGAAUUAACUAUGCAAUCUACCUUAAAUAACACUGAAUCCAUUAAAAUUGAGAGGUUAUAUAUUAUAGAAUGUAAAUCUAUUUCUUUCGUAAAAAAAAAUGAAGAGAAGAAAGUGGGUGUACCUUUUAACAGAGAACGGAGAGAGAAGAAGAAGAAAGAGGGAUUUGUAGGGACGUUUUCGUUUCUAUAUAUAUCUUCCAAAUCCAAACUUCUACCAAAAAGUUGUGUCUGUUUAACGUCUUCUAUUUGUAGUUACACGAUUUUUCGACAUCUUCUUCCAAAUGGUUUGACGUCUUUUC
This 2436-nucleotide long non-coding RNA is filed under the name Aquilegia coerulea. RNAcentral describes it as "long non-coding RNA (ACOE_LNC001928)". The record is from RNAcentral. Lineage: Eukaryota; Viridiplantae; Streptophyta; Magnoliopsida; Ranunculales; Ranunculaceae.